GUUAAAAGAAGAGGUGCGAUGUUCAAGAGUCGCUGCUGUGAAGUCCAUCAGGAUUGACGAUCAGUAGUUAAAGGGGACGUUGCCGAAGCUAGGGUACGCUGAUGAGUACGCUGGUUGGGACCUGUCUUAAGAGGGCAGGAACUGUCGCAACGAUGUGUUGCGGAGCGCUUCCUACGUU
Molecule: non-coding RNA, 178 nt
Filed under: Secundilactobacillus similis
Lineage: Bacteria; Bacillati; Bacillota; Bacilli; Lactobacillales; Lactobacillaceae
Also listed under: 1 other name
Description: Lactobacillus similis Lysine sequence
Rfam family: Lysine riboswitch aptamer
About the family: Riboswitches are metabolite binding domains within certain messenger RNAs that serve as precision sensors for their corresponding targets.
Source: RNAcentral